AUGAAGUUUCGGUUCCUCCUGGUCAAAAUGUACCAUAUAACUGGAAUUAACCGAUACAAGUCCAAGAAGGAUUGGCCGGUGCUGCCGACUGGCGUCAAGUUUGAUCCCACGGAUCAGGAGCUAAUCAAGCACCUUGAGGCCAAAGUGAGUGCUGACAGCGCGAGAUCUCACCCUCUCAUCGAUUUGUUCAUACCAACCAUCGACGGCAAGCACGGCAUAUGCUACACCCAUCCUGAGAAACUUCCAGGUGUCACACUGAGUGGCCUAAGCAAGCAUUUCUUCCAGCGCAACUCCAGGGCGCUCAAAAGGGGCACAUGGAUGUGUCGCAAGAUACAGUCGGAGUGUGGCAUGCACGCGAUCUGGCACAAGACCGGCAAUACCUUGCCGGUGAUGGUCAACGGCCAGCAGACGAGCAGCAAAAAGGUUCUGGUGCUGCACACCAACAAGAACUUCGACCAGCAGAGGACCAACUGGGUGAUGCACCAGUACCACCUCAGGGACCUGGAGCAAGAGAAGGAGCGGGAGCUGGGGAUCCAUCCGGUUUCACAGGCUGAUAGUUGGACGCAGCACGUCGAAACUGGGCUGUGGCAUGCCAAGCCCAGCUGCAAAUUGUUAAAAGAGAGGAGCGAUGGAUUUGGGCCAUCCAGAACAGUUAAGUGUCACGACCUCGAUUGUGAAGCGCCUCCGAUGGACUAA
This 696-nucleotide ribosomal RNA is filed under the name Triticum aestivum (bread wheat). RNAcentral's name for it is "partial small subunit ribosomal RNA". Lineage: Eukaryota; Viridiplantae; Streptophyta; Magnoliopsida; Poales; Poaceae. The record is from RNAcentral.